Molecule: ribosomal RNA, 522 nt
Filed under: uncultured Glomus
Lineage: Eukaryota; Fungi; Glomeromycota; Glomeromycetes; Glomerales; Glomeraceae
Description: SSU rRNA
Rfam family: Eukaryotic small subunit ribosomal RNA
Source: RNAcentral
CCAGCAGCCGCGGUAAUUCCAGCUCCAAUAGCGUAUAUUAAAGUUGCUGCAGUUAAAAAGCUCGUAGUUGAAUUUCGGGACUGAUAUGUCGGUCGUGCCUCGGUACGUACUGGUAUUUUUGGUUUCUCCCUUCUGACGAACCUUGAUGUCAUUAAUUUGGUGUCUUGGGAAAUCAGGACUGUUACUUUGAAAAAAUUAGAGUGUUUAAAGCAGGCUCACGCUUGAAUACAUUAGCAUGGAAUAAUGAAAUAGGACGUUUGAUUCUAUUUUGUUGGUUUCUAGGAUCGACGUAAUGAUUAAUAGGGAUAGUUGGGGGCAUUAGUAUUCAAUUGUCAGAGGUGGAAUUCUUGGAUUUAUUGAAGACUAACUACUGCGAAAGCAUUUGCCAAGGAUGUUUUCAUUAAUCAAGAACGAAAGUUAGGGGAUCGAAGACGAUCAGAUACCGUCGUAGUCUUAACCAUAAACUAUGCCGACUAGGGAUCGGAUGAUGUUAAUUUUUAAUGACUCAUUCGGCGCCUUACG